Molecule: non-coding RNA, 5764 nt
Organism: Meleagris gallopavo (turkey)
Lineage: Eukaryota; Metazoa; Chordata; Aves; Galliformes; Phasianidae
Source: RefSeq, a predicted model, not a curated record
AAUGCUGCAGAAAGAAUGAAAGCGGGGCAUGCUAAUCUGAUUUGUUUCGAGAGGCUUCUGAUAAUAAAGAGGCAUAUCACAGGUGUUCCCAAUCAACCCGGUUUGGUUUAAAAUAUAUCUCUCUCCCUCUUUAAAAUUAGGAUUUCCUGUAACAUAGACAAUGCGAGGGUCAGCCCGAUGACCUCUGUCUAUGUUUGGGGAUCAACCAUGAAACUGUGGGUGUUGGAAAUAUGUUAUAAUACAUGACGUUUUUAUUGCAGGUUUCGACCUUUCAAUAGAGAGCUGAUUUUGGAGGACGGCUUAGUCCUGUGAGUGAAAAACUCUUUCUGGAAGGUUGAUGGAGCAGGAGCAUGAGCAUUUCGAUUGCUGUCCAUCACUUCCACAGAAGCCUCAAUAUUGCCAUUCCAAAUGACUCUCUUUAUUUUUGUUUGUUGACAUGACUGCAGUGAAGGACUGGUGCACCUCCUACAACAGAACAUGCAAGUCAGGCAAAGACUGUGAAGAAGCCCUUUAGUCCUAAAUAUUCAUGUCAACUAAAGCAGCUAGCGGAGAGGGAUGGCAGAAUAUUUGACUUGCAUCUAUUUUAAAAUAGCUCUUGCUUGGAGGGGGCCUAGUGGAGAGACCUAAUGGAGUUAUCUGUACACACGAUCCCCUGUUUUUAUCGAGGCCUCCUCAGUAAUUUGUCCCCCAACAACUGAAGUCAUAAGGAUAGAGACCCUUUUAGCAGAGGCUGUCCUGAUGUAUUACUAUGGGAGCAAACACUGGAAAGAAGGGAAGGAAAACUUACCAAACUUUCGUACCUGUGGCCUGCGAAACUGCUUUGUGCUUACACAGAUAGUCCUGUUAAUUUAAGAGGAUGAUUUCAUCCUGCACUGGCUAGAAGACUCUUCACAGUGGAAAGAAGUACUUGGGUUGAAUCUGUGGGAAUCUUUCAUUGAGACAAUUGAAAUUGUUGCAGUGAGAAUGGAAAUUACUUGGGAUCCUUUUCUUUUAAAAGCUGUAUGCAAGAACUGUGUGGUGAGUCAAACUUGGGCUAAUGGUUAUGUAAAUGUCACUAAUUUUAGAUACAGGCAAGAUCUGAAAGUGUUUCCUUUCAGAAUUUUAUUUUCUUCCCUGUCAUGACUCAGUAUCACUUGCUAAUCUUGUUUUAUUAGCCCUGUUAUAUAUUGCCAUUAAAACACUUAUUUGAAGACUGCAUGUGUUUUACAAGUUGAAGUUUAUACAUCGUGUAGAUGUUUCAAAUUGAGGGGGGGAAAAAAGGCUUUCUGCACUGGGGAUUUCUUUUGACUCCAGAGAUCUGCUACUGGCGCAGCUGCACAGGUACAAACAAGAUGUAGAUGAAUAUGAAUGCAAGUUGUUACAAUUCAUAAAUUUGCAUUGCUUUACCACUUGGAUGUUCAGCCCGAUAUACAUACUGUUGAAAAGUCACCUUUUUUUUUUUUCCUGCCCCUGCUGUGGAUUUGAAAUAAUAAAGCCUACUUUUGACUAAAACUUUCUAAUUUAGUUCAGCCCGAGCACUUCUCAAUAUUAAAGUUAUCCAGUACUAAAUAGCCCACAGCUUCUCUUAAAGUAUCUGUGCUUCUGUGUGCCAUUUACCUACGAUUUGUCUCUUGAGAUGCACAGCCAAAAUGAGGUUGACUACUCAAAAAUGGUUAUCUGGCUCAAAGUUGGAUAACUUAUCUGUAACUGUGCACUGCUGCAGACUGUGGUGUUUGCAAAGGGCCAUCCAUGCUGUCACUCCCAUGGAUCCAAUAUUUACUAUCUCUGGGCUGUAUCUCUGAAGUUUCAGAGAGCGUAGAUGCAAAUCUAAAAAGCCAAUCAGAAAGAUCUGAGAGCAUGCAACCAACAGAUCUGUUUGGCAUGGCAUUGCUGUGUGAAUGGUGAAACAGACUGCUUUUUUCUGGUUCUCCAUGCAAACCCCUAUACUGGCACAAGGCAGAGAGUGGGAAGCAGCAGCAGUAUGAGCUUGCACUGCUUUGUUUAGCCAUAAAGGCUAAUGGGGAUGAAAAUACAAUUUGAGCACUUGCAGAAACAAGACUCAAACAAGGAAUGAAAGUUCCAGUUUAGUUUGAUUGUCAAGAGAAUGAUUUUGAGUGCUUGUGAAGACCUAUCCGUGUUAUUUGGUUCUAAACCUUUGAAAAGAAUGUCACCUUUUUUGCAUGGUUCAUAGUUGCCUUAAAUAUUAGCUAUUAUGUUUUCCAGAGAUAAACCUGCAAGGAUGCACUGUCUCCAGUGGUGAAAUGGAACUCUCCUACAUUUGCAGCUCUGAGGUCCUAUGGAUUUUGCCUGAUUGAAGAAAGAAAGGUGUAUUAUAUUCAAUCCAAAUGCUUAUUUUUCUGCUAGUCUUAGGAACUGUGAGGGGAAGCAGAUGCUUAAUUCAUAAAUAAGGGAAAUAAAAGAAAGGCCUGCUUGAAAAUAUCUUGAGAUUAGUCGCUAUUCAAGAGCGAAGACAGCUGGUGAGAGGAGCAUGUCUGAAACUCCUGUGUUUGAAAGAUUGGAGCUGCAAACUGGUAGGGGAAAGAGAUGUGAAAUUGGAAAGGUGGAAGGACUGGUAAAGGUUGGGCAAUGAUUUAGGGAUUUGUUUGCUUCUUGAAGAUGGAAGAAGCAGCAGCUUAGUAUCAGGAAGGGUUCCUUCUGCUGUAAAGAGAAAGCAGGGGAAAGCAGGUCAACGUUAAUAUUUAUUAGAAUGCUUAGCACUUGAGUCAGGCUGUGACAUAGUAGUUUUUGCUAUGUUUUGCUAUGAAAUCACUGUCACUUUCAUUUCUCAUCCAAAUCCACAGAGAAAAGGAUGUCUUUAUUACUGCAGUCAGCUACUUCAUGAAAUUUCAUCCUGAAAAGGCAUUUCAAAAAUUACAGAGUAGGUGAGGUGCUACUGGAGAUCAUCUAGCCUAAGCAGAAUCAGGCAGAACAGGCCUCUCAGGGCUGUAUCUGAUCUUAAUUUGCCCCCUUGUGUUAGUCUACUACGAAGCAAUCUUCGUGAUCAUAUGGAAUAUUCAGUGAUAGUGUGGUGUGCUGCUGAGUCAGAGAAGGUGUUUGUAGGCUGUACAAGGAAGAAGCUCAACCCUGAUACAGGAAUAGGUUGAAAAUUCUGUAGGGAAUGGACUAAAACCCUCAAGCAGAAGAAACUGUGUCUUCAUGUUUACAUGAAAUGAGAAAUCCUAGGAAUUUGAUGUUAUAUUUAUUUUUCUGUUUUUAUUUUUGUAUGGUGUACAAAUUACUAGGCCAUUGAUUUUUGUAGUUUGUUCCUCAUGUUCCUCACUUCACAGGUGGCUUUAAGCCGUCAUGUCCAAUGGAAACACUGGAAACACUGGAUGCAGCUGAUCUGCUUAAGAAUUGUAAACAUGAAUUUAAACUUUAUGUAAUGUUAUGUCUGCCUGUAGUCUCCUACAUAUUUCAAGUGGGAUACCUCCAAGUGUUGGGCGCUACUGUAGUUUCUGUGUCACAUUUUAAAGUAGGGAUGAUAGUCACUUGAAGGGAUGUUUUUCUAUUUUUGCUUAUUUCAAGCUUUGUCUAUUAGUUGUGCUACAGGGAUGUGUUUCCUCAUGGGAUUUUCUAUGGCAUUUAUGACUUCAGAUCGCAGAGGAAGAGGCACCACGUUGAACCAUUGGUACCUGUGCAUCUGAUGUUCUUGUACAUGGGUAUUGUUCUGCAUCACAUGUGGAAGCAACUGCUGUAAAUCAGUGCAUGAGCAGUGUUAAUCUGUCCAGCCCUUUGUUUUCCAGACUGACAGUGACUGAACAGAGCUCUUCAUUAGCCUGUGAUAUAGCAGGAAUUUGCUAGUAGGGUGACUGCUUUCCACUGUGCAACUGGAUUGGAAGCAAAGGCCACCAAAAGGAAAUGUCCAAGUUAGCGGAAGUAUCACCCCAGUGCAGCUAAGGCAGUGCUGGUAUCCAGACCUUCAAUGCUUGUCUGUGCAGCCACCAAAAGCCCAGCUACUGUUUCCAGAUGUGAGGUAUCACGAAGACUGCCUCAAUGUCUGGAUCCUGCAAUGGCUCACUUCCUAGUGCAGCAGCCCCACUGCUCUGGGAUUCUACUUGUGCGUUAUAAAGCAGAGGAGAAUUCACUGCACAUCCAGAAGUAGGCUGGGUUUCUGGGACAGUCUGCAAAUUUUUUCUGAAUGCAAUGAAGAAUAAAAAGGCAACCGUAAGUGGACUUAAAUUAGCAAAUUUUCUACGUUCUUGACAAAGAAGUUCUCUUGAGAAAGUGGCCAAUGAGUUGAAGAAAUAGAAUGUCAGUGAUCACAAAUUCCAAGUUAACUGGAAAAAAAUUCUAAGCGUUUCAAAAACUUCUAUUUAAUCAAAAAUAGAGGUAGCUGUGAGCAAUCAGAGCCCCUAGUUGUCCUGUAUGAAAAAAACAUGACCAAAUCUUCUCCACCACGCUUCUAGUCCAGCAGAGAUUGUAUUGGGAGAUGCCAUACCUUGUGGACCUGCCAAGAUGUGUGUGAAAUUAGUCAGUUUAACAUGUCAUCUGGUUUUGACCAAAAGGCUUGAAAAUCACCCAGACUUGUGGUUAAUUGGCUCUGAUCAGCCAAAUUCACUUCUCCCUCUGCAACUACUACCUGCUGGGGAAAUGCACCAGCGUGAAAGGCUCUGCUGCUGAUGCACUUGUUGGAUAAUUGCCAUACACACAUGUGCUCUCAUACUUCCUAAAGCAACUAUAAAGAAAAGAAGAAAAAGAAGGGAAGGGGAGAGGAGAGGAGAGGAGAGGAGAGGAGAGGAGAGGAGAGGAGAAACAGGUGCAAAAAUGACACAUCUCAGUUCAUUGCUAAGAAUAAAUUACAGAAAAGCUUUGGAAUCUUGAUUUACUAAUUUUCAUAUGCACAGGUUCUUGGUACAUGGCCCUAACAGGUCAAGAUAAAGUAUUUAUGGUUCUUUACAGGACAGGAACUUUCACUGGGGUGUUCUUCCACAGCCAAAAUAUUAGGUACGUAAGAUGGUGUUUGUGCUGGAUAAAAGUUAACCCAUGAGGGUGAUCUUUCCCCUCUACUCAGCACUGCUGAGGCCACACCUGGAGCACGGGGUUCAGCUCUGCAUCCCCAGUACAAGACAAGUACUAGACUUGGAAGAGAGAGUCCAACAGAGGGGCACAAAGUUGAUGAUGGGACACAAAAACUUCUAUGAGGAGAGGCUGAGAGAGUUGGGACUGCUCAGCUGCAGGGGGCUCAGGGAUCCCAUCAAUGUCCAUAAAUACCUGAGGGAGGGUGCCGGAGGCCACAGCCAGGCUCUGUCAGUGGUGCCUGGUGCCAGGACCGGAGGCCAUGGGCACAAACUGGAGCACAGAAGGUUCCCUCUGAACACCAGGAGACCUUCUAUGCUGUGCAGUGACGGAGCACUGGCACAGGCUGCCCAGAGGCUGUGGGGUCUCCUUGGGGAUCUCCCAGAGCUGCUGGGACGUGGCCCUGGGCACCCUGCUCUGGGACAGGGGAUGGAGAAGAGGGACCCAGGGAGCCCAGCCAGCCUCAGCCGUGCUGCAAUGUGUGAAAUGGUUGUAUCAAAUUUUCAUUUUGCCAAAACCACAGAGUAUGAGUAAUGAUGUAGGUUAAAACACAUAUAUUUCUUUUUCCUUACUUUAAAAGAGUUCUCAAUGUUCAAAAUGGCUGUUACAGCACUGAAAAUAAACUCUGCUUCUGCAGUAGGUGAAAUAGCCUAAUUUUAUUAGUAGAAAGUCUAAUGAAAGGCCUGUGCUCAAAGCAUUAACAUAUUGGUUGACAUUAUUGACAAAAAAAUAGAGUUUGAAGCGAAAGCAUACAGGUUGACGUUCCAUA